UGGAAGUGUCUAAAAUGGACCUGUGUUCAA
Molecule: non-coding RNA, 30 nt
Filed under: Mus musculus (house mouse)
Lineage: Eukaryota; Metazoa; Chordata; Mammalia; Rodentia; Muridae
Source: RNAcentral